RNAcentral lists this ribosomal RNA (160 nucleotides) under uncultured bacterium. RNAcentral describes it as "partial 16S ribosomal RNA". It matches the Rfam family "Bacterial small subunit ribosomal RNA", at positions 1341 to 1500 of the family's 1533-position model. The record is from RNAcentral.
AUCGUAGGUCAGCAUACUACGGUGAAUACGUUCCCGGGCCUUGUACACACCGCCCGUCAAACCAUGAGAGUUGGCAACACCCGAAGUCGGUAGUCUAACCGCAAGGAGGACGCCGCCAAGGUGGGGGUUGAUGAUUAGGGUUAAGUCGUAACAAGGUAUC